ACUCAAACUGGGAUUCUGGUCAUGGCCAGGUGACUGCCAUGAGGACAGAGGCAUCUGGCGUUAGUUCCUGGAUGAAGGCUGUACAGGAAGCAUGGUGCCAGCAUCUGCUUCUGCUAAGGGGUUCAGGCUGCUUCCGCUCAUGGCAGAAGGCGCAGGGGAGCCGGCGAGUCACAUGGUGAGAGAGGAAGCAAGAGAGAGAGGAGGAGAUGCCAGGCUCUUUUUAACAAUCAGUUCUCAUGGGAACUCAGAAGAGCAAGAACUCAUUCAUUACUGCAAGGAUGACUCCAAGCCAUUCAUGAGGGACCAGAUUCCAUAACCCAAACACCGCCCACCAGGCCCCAUCUCCCACACUGGGGAUCACAUUUCAACAUGAGACUUGGAUGGGACAAACAUCCAAACUGUAUCAGACAUCAUCUCACGAAUCCACAAAUUUAGCUGCUUUCCCUUCUUUUCUGUAGUUUCACAACCUACUAUAGAAGCACUUUCUAGAGGGGCCUGCAGAAGUGAAUUUCCUCUUCCAUGGCCUCGAUGUAUUUGGCUGUUGAUUCAGUAUCACUGAACUUACUGCCAACAGCACUACAACUCACGCUGAAGGCACCUCAUCCAGCACAGGUAUUGUCUCCACAGGCACAUCGCAGCCUCCUGCACUCAGAGACAGUAGACAGCACUUCAGCACCGUGCCUGGGGACAUUUUAAACAGCAAAAUCACCAACAAAAGUACAAAAAUGCAAAAGCAUGGCUCUGGAUAGACAGCAGGAAGGACCACUUGUUUCUAGUGUGAGAGCUGGGACAAGAAAGCAGAGGGGUCACCUUGCUUCACCUCAGCCGGGAACAGAUGCCUUGGACUACUCAGAUUUUUUCCCUGCUCUGUACAAGUCUGUGAAUCACUGUGAAGCCACAAGUAUUGAUUUGGUUUACAAACACAUUUUAGUGAAGAGGUGAAUUUGCAGGUAUGGAAUCUAGAAAUAAUGAGAUCGGACUGUAAGGCUGGAGACGAAGAUGGAGAGGCUGCUGCCAAGUGACAGGCUGGCUCUUGUCCCAGAAGCUGUGGACUGCCACUGGAGUGUUUCAAGCAAGGGAGUGGCUUGAUCUGUGUUGUAGGAACAGCACCUUUUCUCAACUUAAAAGUGUGGCUUGAAGAGAGGAAGACGGGAGACUGGUUAGGAGAUGGAUGUAUCCAGGUGAGGAUGAGGGUGGGUGAACGGAGCCAGGGAUAGAGGUCCUCAGGGGAGCUGACCUGAGACCCCUGUGAGUCUCGGGUCCUGGCAAUGGGGCGGCGGUGAGUGGUGAGGGGGAGGCAUUGAGGACAGCGCCCGGGGUCCCCGGCUGGGGCACAUGCUGGGGUGUAGGGCAGUGGUCAAGGGCCCUAGCCUUGCAGUCAGACACCCCUGGCGGGCUGUGUGGCUUAGACAUGCUCCUCCACUUCCCUAAGCCUAGUUGUUUCAUGUCUAGCAUAAAGAUUCCGUGUGGCAGGAAGAACACACCCCCGGGAGUGAUUCUGAGAUUGAAAUGAGUGCUGGUGCUUUUCACCUAAACAAGGAAAACGGGGAGAGAAGCAGUAUGUGGGGUGGGAGGGAGAAGAGUCUGUCUGGGCGUGGGGAUUUGGACGUGCCUCUGGACACCCAUGGACAAAUAUCCUGAGGCCAUCUGAUGUUUUCCGGGGGCCACGGGAGUGGGGGAGGGGAAGGUGGGGCGGAGACACAGACUUGGGCAUUACCAGCAGGCAGGGGGCUGCUACCGCCAUGAAGAGUGGGCAGUGCCAGGAUCAGAGGGCCGGGGUAAAGCCUGCGGAAUUCCCACAUUUCAGAAGAGGCUGGGAAGGAGGUCAAGGAAGAGCAGCAGGAGGAGGAGAAAGCAGGAGGGUGUGGAGGGACGGGAGGCGGGGAGGAGGAAUUCCAGGAGGGAGUGGCCGGGGUGACUGUUCUGAAAGCAUGGACUGGAAGCCACAGCACAUUUGGGCUGCAAGGAACCCGAGAGAUCUUCUAGUCUAAUCCUCUUUCAGUCUCCAUCCCCGUCCGGAUGAAGACAGCGAGAUCCAAAAGUAAAGUCAGUUGUACUGUGACUUCCUAGCAGGAUACCCUAACUCCUAAUUCAUAAUAAAACUACAGACAUUCUCAAUUCAAAAUUCUUCCUAUUCAGUCACACUGGACUUUCUCCCAAUGUGACAAAAUUAUUGAGAUUUUAUUGACUUACUGAACAACUGUGGUCUUUGCCAUGUACUAAGAUACUGUGUAGUCAAACUGCGCCUCUGAAAUCUAUUUUUAUUGUACAUUUAACAAAUUUUGCUGUAAACAAUAAGUUUAAAAACAAUAGUCAUAACUCAUUAAACUGUAUCUUUUAAUUUUAAUAUGUUAUUAUACCUCAAUGAAACUCAGUUUUAAAAAACAGUGAAUAAAAAGUUGAGCUAUUAAAACUAAAAAGUAAUUAUUUGCUAGUUUGUAUACACAGACCCAAGAAAUAGAAAUAUAGGAAUAUUUGGAACUUGCUCCUUCUUACAGCCUUGAGGGAACCGCUUAUCCCUUAUUACGCCUUGGUUUCCCUCAAUGAAACUAGAAAAUAUUACCUUGCAAGACGCUCAUAGUUAAUUAAUACGUAUGAAGCUCUUGAAUCUAAAUAUUAAAUACUUGAUGAUAUUGUCUGGUAAAUAUUAUCUAACUGCAUUUAUAAAUACUAGCAUUUUUACAGCCUAGUGGUAAUUACAAAGUAUAGCCCAUUUAAAAUGAAUACAAAUAUGUGCAUAUAUAUUUUUCCUGUGAAAGUAGGAAAAGAAAGUUGAAAUUAUGCAAGAACAAAGUAGAAAAAUAUGCCUCUCAUAUAAGAUUGAGUGUUUCCAUUGAUCAAUAUAAUUUUUAAAAUGUUGUGAUGAUUCUUUUUUUCACUUAAUUGGCUAUGUCAUUUGCACUCUACCUAAGUGAGAUAUUAAUAAAUUGUAUAUGAUGUAAAUAACAGGAAACAAGAAGAACUGCUGGCCUUAUUCAUAGUUAAUAAAGAGAACCAGAUGAUGAAAUUGUCUGAAAAUAAGCCAUUUUGUUUAUUAAAAAGUUACUUCUGCUCCAGGGAUCCAAGUAAUAGAGCUUUGUGUUUUCAGAGGGAAUGUUGCCAUAAAUCAGGGUAUCACAACCUCAGCACUACCGAGGUUUGGGGCAGCUGGGUAAUUCCGUUGUGGGGGCUGUCCUGUGGGCUGUGGGAGGUUGAGCAGCACCCCUGGCCUCCACCCACUAGAUGCCACUAGCACCCCCUCCCUCAUUUGUGACAACCAAAUGUCCCCAGGGGGCAAAAUUGCCCUCAGUUGAGAAACACUCCUAUAAAUAUCAUGUCCAUGCUGGGGUGGGUGUACUUUUACAUGUACGGGGGACUGGCCCGUAGGUUUGGCGGUAAGUCCUGGGCUUCCAAAUUGGCAUUUCCCAGUAGCUGGGCUGAUGUGACAGCCUUCGGUUGCUCGGGCCUCCAGGCAGAAAGUGGAGGUGCAACAGGGGCUGUUUGCACGCUGCCUUGGCAGAGUUGGGGUGACAGGCACAUCUCAUGUGUUCACAGACACUGCCAGGCCUUCUCAGAGCUCAUGACUUGCCUCCCCUUUCCCUGCAGUUAGGGAGCCUUUUGUCUUGCCCUCAAUUCUCCAAAAUAACCCAAAAGGUUUCCUUUAUCUUUAACUCUGUUAUAAACAUGUUGACACUUUGCCAAACAAAAACCUGAUGAAACAUAUUCUGAAUUUUCUACUUUCCUACAUAAAAACUUACAAACAACAGGCUGAAGGAAAGAAUGUGUAGAGAAGAUACAGGAAGUGACAUCAUAAAGCUGGAGGAGACUUUAGAGCUGAGCUGCUCUUGGUCACGCGGCACACAGUCCCAGUGCUCAGUCACCAUGUGUCCUGCAUGGCUCCCAUGUUGGACGGCACAGACGGAACAUCUCGAUCGUUACAGGAAGUUCCACCAGAUGGCGCUGUCUCCAGGGACAUCUAGGGCACAGGCCUUACUUUAUAACGAAGUCCUAGAGAGAUUUAUGUUCACCCGGCUGAAGAGAAGCAACGAGCUCAGGGCAGAACCAAGACUGGGAAGCAGCCCAGUUAACCCCACGCUGCGAUCUCUCCCGCACACAACUGCCUUGUGGCAGGUCCACACCUGGAAUGCCACAUGGGGUUUUGGCCAUCAUAGCCUAAGAAUGAGGGUCAGAUAGGUAAUUAAGAGAAUGGACCAACUCUAAAUAAAAUGUUAGUCCAGUUCAGUAACCAUGUCUCGUAUACCUGCCAUGUACCAGAACUUGGUCUGGUUAUGAAGUUGAAAACAAACAAACAAACAAAAACCAAAUAGAUCCCUGUCCUAGCAGGGCACACAGACUGGGAGGCACUCCUUUCAAUCCCACGUAGCCAUCCCAAAGAUAAAGAUGAGCCCAGGGCCCAGCCUGGGGUGGGGAAGGUGGGGAAGGCGUGCUUGCUAGAGGAGAUAGCAUCCCUGUAAAGAAGGCAAGAAACGAGCUGGGAUGGAGGGAGUUGCAGAGCCCAGCACUCAGGGGAGCAGACGGGAGGGCGGCCUGAGGAUUCCCCUGACUGUGGCUUCGUUCCACUCACCUGGCUGUGCCCGGCCACCCCAUGUAGAGGUCCCUCCUCAAGGCAGCAUGUUUAGGGCACCGCCUCCACACAGAUUCCCUUCCCAUCCUGUGGCCCGCUUCUCAUCCUCCACACCUGUCUUGCUCAGUGACGCUAUGCUCCAUGCAGGCUUAUGCUUCUGGAGCCUGAGAACCAGCCUCCACUCUUCUCUCUCACACUCUAUAUCUAAGCUGUUGGCACACUCUAUUCCUUUUUUUUUCGGUAAGUUCUAGAACCUGCUUCAUCCAUCCCCAUGACUAUCUUUGUCUCGGCUUCCAUCAUCUUUUUCUCUCUUUCCCUCUCUUCUUUUUACUUUUUAUGUUUUUUAAGAGAUAGGAUCUUGCUGUGUUGCCCAGGCUGGAGUGCAGUGGUGCGAUCAUAGCUCACUGCAGCCUUGCACUCCUGGGCUCAAGAAGUCCUCCCGCUUCGGCCUCCUGACUAGCUGGGACUACAGGCAUGCUCCACCAUGCCCAGCUAUUUUUUAAAUUUGUUGUAGAGGUGGGGUCUGUGUUGGUCUGACUGAUUUUUGAACUCCUGGCCUCAAAUAAUCCUACUGCCUUGGCCUCCCAAAGCACAGACUACAGAUGAGCUGUGAUGCUUGGUCUUCUUUAUACAUUAAAAAAAAUUGAGAUAUAAUUCACUGCCAUAAUAUUCAUCCUUUUAAAGCAUACAAUUCAGUAGUUUUUAGUGUAUUCACAAAGUUG
This 5286-nucleotide long non-coding RNA is filed under the name Homo sapiens (human). Its description in RNAcentral is "non-protein coding lnc-RPP40-1:9". Lineage: Eukaryota; Metazoa; Chordata; Mammalia; Primates; Hominidae. The record is from RNAcentral.